GCAUGUUUUCUACCCUUUGCAUGCAUUCAGUCUCAUCCCUUUCCACUAUCCAUCCGCCAUAGUUAUAAUAAAUUAUUACAGACUGAAUGAAUCAGAAAAGAAAGUAAAAAUUACAUCAGCAGCUAUAGCUACAUCCAAACAGCGUAAUUCAGAAACAAAGUCCAACAAUAUGAGAUAAACUACUUCCAGGAUCCGAUUCCAAAAGACCUCAUAUUUCGGGGGGUGUCAAAGUUUCCAAGAGUCUCAAAGGGCUCCGGGUAGUGCUUACACUCCAAAACAUUGCAGAAUCAAGAACAUAGUGUGUGUGGAAAUGCCAGCCCUCAGAUGUCCAAGUUCAGAGGGAACUCAAUGUCCCAAAGAAAGGCUCAUAAGAGAGGGGAAGAACUUAAGAGUCUAAGAAUAGGUGUAAGUGCACAAGGGUAAGGGAAUCAAAGAGGGACAUGGCAGGCUGGUGGUCAUGCCCAGCAAUUGGGAUGCUGGCACACCCCUGAGCAGCCCGCUUGUCAAACAUUAAGAGUUAGGAUCCAUUGUAGAUCAAGCCAUGGCCUGGGCAGUAAUCAGAAUACUGUCAGACCAAAAGCUUAACUCAGCACAUAAAAAGGAAUAUGGGUAGGGGAUUCAUAACAGAAACAGAAACAAAGAAAGGAAAUAUGCACAAAUUACAGAACAUGAGCAGUAAAGUAAACAAGAAGUCUGAAGCUAUAAAGUAAACACAUAGGGGGUGGGUGAGGAAAUAAGAUUUAGAUAAAGAACAUACCGGUUUCAGAGAAAAAUAAAUAAGCAAAUGUAGCCUUGAAAGAGCCAAGUUGUGAACAACACUUUCAAAAAGAUCUCAAACUAAGCAGAAUUGGAAGACAAUAUUGCAAGAAAGUGUAUUUCAGUGUGUGAAUGUAGUUUCGUGUCUUUAUGAUCAUGUGAUAAAGAGGGAGGACUAGGUCCUUAUAUAGUUCUUGAAAACAAGCAGUAGAUAGGCAAAGAGUGCACAAACAUGCAAGUAACAAUCAAUUAGUGUCAAUUAAGACAACUGGAAUCCUUUAAUUAAGGAGUCUAGUUCAAACGGUUAAUCAAGACAGAAUAAGGAAAAGAUAUCGGUUUAAUAAGGCUGAUUAGGGAAAAGAACCACAUAGUGCAUAAACAAAGCCAAAUACAUAGUGGGUAAUUAAGGAAAGUUGAAAUAAUAGUGUCUUUAUAAAGUGAAAAUAAGGUAUUGGUUUGAAAAUCAAUCAAAAAGGGUCCCGGAUCCGAUUGUAAUUACAAAGAACAUUAAGUAAUUAAGGAAAGAGUCAUAGAAAUAAUUCAAAUAUUGGUACAAAAUCACAGAAGCGAUACAAAAGACCAUGUAUUUAAGAAAAACAUUACAAGCAUAGGACUUUUACACAAAAGGAUCAAAAUAAGGAGGUUUAACCGAAGGAAAUCAGUAAAGAAUCAUUAGCCUUAUUAAAGGGAUUUCAGAAUAAGUCACUUGGUUGGUGAAACCUUUUGAAAGAGGAGUUUUUCUCAUAUAAAAAGCAUACAGUUCAAACAAAAUAAAGAGUCUAACAAUGAAAGUUUCAGAGUCAUAAGAAAUAUAGGAUUUCAAAUUUUAAUUACAGACUCAUAACGGGUCUGAAAACCUAGGGUCCCAAAGUAGAACUCUAAUGUGACUUAUCAAAGAAACCCCAAACCUAGGGUUUUGAAUAAAGUGAUAGGUGAGAAGACAUGGUCACUGAGAGAGGCUCAGAGAUCUUUUCAAAACUUCUGAGAGGCAACAUACGUGAUAGCAAACACAUUGAUUCAAAGGCAUGCUUGAGAAAACUUGGAAUUAAAACAAAUUACAGAAGUUUUAAACAAAGUAGGUAUUAAAAAUGCUUAGCAGGAACAUCAAAAAAACUCAGUAAGGUGAAACAAAGUCAAAGAGCACAAACUUAAACACAUAUAGCAAAGAGUGCAGAACAACAACCUAAGUUAACAUGUGAACAUAUAACCAACAAAGUCUUUCACAAUCGGAAAAGAAACAAAAGAGCAAACAAUAAGAGGAAGAACAUACGAGUAUAAACACACAUAAAGAAAGAGCAAAAGAGCCAGAAAACAUUUAAAGAAACGUUUUCCAGAAACCCUAAAAAUCGAACUUGAACAAUUUUAAAAAGGAAAUUUGGGAAAAGCCUUAAGACGUCAGCUAAACAUCAAGCAUGGUACAGAUUUAAGAAAAAUAUACAAGUAUAGAACCUUAGAAGGCUUAAAAAAUGGCAGAGAAGACCCUAGAAGGAGAAGGUCUUGAGGAAAGUCGGAUCUUGAGUCGAAGAGACUCAUAUUGCUUUGAACACGUCGAAGAAUGGCCGGACAUGCCAUAGAUCUUGCAGAUCUGAGGAAGAUCUAAAGGAAACCAUGGAAGUCGGACUCCAAUCUUUGGUUAAUUUAGGUCCAACAUCGAGGGAGAGUGGGGUAUAGGCCAUUCAUGGCCGGGACUGCCAUGGAUUCUAGUGGAAAUGAGACGGAAGUAAGCGGAAUAGGGCUAUGGUUUCAGAGAGGACUAGAGAGGGUCUGGGAGGUGAAGGCGGCUAUAUUUGGGUAAAUGAAUUAGGGUUAGGGAGUUAGGGGUUAAAAAAGGAAGGAACAG
RNAcentral lists this long non-coding RNA (2596 nucleotides) under Nicotiana benthamiana. RNAcentral's name for it is "long non-coding RNA (NBEN_LNC016520)". The record is from RNAcentral. Lineage: Eukaryota; Viridiplantae; Streptophyta; Magnoliopsida; Solanales; Solanaceae.